GGAGAUGUAGCUUGGAGGUAGAGCGCUUGCCUGGCACGCAUGAAUUCCUGGGUUCUAUUCCAAGCACUACCA
Molecule: transfer RNA, 72 nt
Filed under: Cavia porcellus (domestic guinea pig)
Lineage: Eukaryota; Metazoa; Chordata; Mammalia; Rodentia; Caviidae
Rfam family: tRNA
About the family: Transfer RNA (tRNA) molecules are approximately 80 nucleotides in length.
Source: Rfam by way of RNAcentral